UUUAUGUCUAAGAAACUAAGAAUCCAUGUUGAUGCAUAUAAAUGUAAAUGAAGCAUGUAAAUGAUGCAUGUAGCUAAAUAAUGCAUGUUGAUAGUAUGAUGUAAAUGCUAAAUAGAAUGCAUUAUGAGCAAGUUACAUAAUGCUAAAUAAUGUAAUGUAGAAAUGCUAGAAUGCAUUAUGAGCAAGUUACAUAAUGCUAAAUAAUGUAAUGUAGAAAUGCUAGAAUGCAUAAUGAGCAAGUUAUAUGAUGCAUGUUUAUAGUAUGAUGUAAAUGCUAAGUAGAUGCAUAUAAAUGAUAUAUGAGAUUAUAAACGCAUGAUUAGCAUUAUGAGAUCAUAGAUGCAUGCUUAGCAUUGUGAGAUUAUAUAUGCAUAUGAACUUGGUUGAUAACUCUAGCUUGAUUAGAGAGAUAACAUUGGAAAAUGAGAAUUGAUAACUCUAGAAUGAGUAGAAUGCUUAAUUGGACAAUUAGUAUGUGAAUUAGAUCGAGUGGCAUCUAACUUAGUGUUAAGGAACAUAGGUCGUGAGUAGACCUAGAAUCAAAUAGAUCGAGUGGCAUCUAACCUAGUGUUAAUAAACAUAGGUCGUGAAAUGAAAAGUACUUAACCUAGAGUCAAGUGAACCUAGGUUGGAAAGAAUAAUGAUCCUAGUGUAAUAAACCUAGGUUAAGAAUGUGAAAGCAAUAAACCUAAUGGGUGAACUUAGGUUGAGUAAAGGCUUAGACCUAGAGAGGUCAGUUCCAUAGGGUUAAGACCAACCCCUAUGUGAUGUGAAAUGGAUUCCGGAAUCCCAAGGCUAAAAGGAUACACCCAAAGUGGUGUCGGGUGUGUGCGACGAUUUCGCCGCCCAAGGGCUAAAGAACCAUUGUCGUGGCGUGUGCGACGAUUUCGCCGCCGGAUGGUUAGCCAGUUUGUGGAUCCUACCGCCUGUUGAUUGAACCACUGUCGUGGCGUUUGUGCGACGAUUUCGCCGCCGGGUGGCUUAGUCAUGGACCUAGGCCGUUGUUGGGUGAGGUGCGAUUCGUUCGCCGCCAGACGGCUAGGAUAGGAGUACGGUGAGCUGUUGCCAGCUGAGGUGCAUGUGAGAGUUCCUUCACCUCGAGCUAGAUAGUGCGCGGACUAUCCGCGAUUGAUUGACUCGAAGCCGAGUCGGGUGGUUAGCUAUGAUAGGGUAGAGGAACCCUUAUGAGCUAGAGAUAGAGGCUUGAGCUAAGGUAAUAGAAACCUUAGAAGCCAGUGGUUAGUGUUGUGAUCCUAAGGUAAUAGAAACCUUAGAGUAAAGUUAUGAGCUAAAGUAGCCAAGUAUAAGUAGAAUUCAAAUGAUCUACUAGUUGCAUGAUUUUCAUAUCUCAUAUCGUGAGGCAUGGCAUGUAUAUUUCAAUUGAAAAUAUAUGUCUGUUGUAUAUUGUUGAACUAACAUAUUGCAGUGCCUCCUCGGACCUAUCGGUCGAUCUUUUCCCUUAGGUGGCCGUACCCACUGGGAACCAUGGAGUUGGUUCUCACCCCACGUGGUUUUGGGGUGUUUUCAGGUUGUUCGUGCGCGGCGUGGUGGCGCGAGGCAAGGGCGUAGCUCAGUAGAUAGCGCCCCACCACAGAGACCGAGGUAGCAGUACCGUGAGACAGUCUAGCUUAGGGGUCUAGAAGACAAGAAAAGAAAAUGUAUCAAACUUGAUAACUCUGAUGUAAUAGCGAGAUUGUAAUUUGGAAGUAAAAAUGUAAACAGAAACUGUGAUGUAAAAAGUGGUUGUAAAAUGAAUGCAUGUAAUAGCAAGUAGAUUAUGUAUUUGAUACUUCCUUAUGCAAUCUGGAUUGAUAUCCGUUCCUAGUUGGAACAUUCGUUGAUUGUUUGGAUUGCGACGCCUUGGACGUACUGGGGAGACUCUGUCCGCGUACAAAGGAAUCCCCGGUCCGUUCGGUGGUCUGUCGUCGGCGCCGCGACCCUGUCCAAAUAGGCGGUUGGUCGCAGGGAGUGACAGAUAAGAUGGUAUCAGAGCAUAAAGUAGAGAAUGGGCUAUGGUUUAGCUGGACCUAGGAGACCUAGGAUAGUAAACCAUAGGAGAAUAAGGCUCGUGAGAGACGAGGACUUGUGAAUUACGGCGAAAGAUUGAUCGAUUGGGUCAGGUUAGUAACCCUCUGAAACGGAUGUUAGAGGUGGAUUCAAGGUUCAGUUUAUUCUCAGCCGAGGAUGUUCAUGUUGGGCAUGCACAACAUGAAACCGGGUGAUGAGAAUAGACGUCCUUGCGUGACUUUCGCCCGAUUUGAGUCAGUGUUAGUUGUCUCGUGUUCGACCCAGAGGGUCGAGGGUUGAACGAGUUGUCGUGCUUUAGGAAGCGAUGGCAUCGUGUAGGCGAUCAAUAUAAAGAUCGGCGCGGGAUGAGACAAGUGGUGUCCCUAAGCAAUCUGAAGCGAGCGGAGAAUUGAAACUUCGCUAUCAAUUGGCCACACUCGUGGGAGUGGUGAGGCCACGAGUCGGUGGUGCAGCGUCAGUAGGAGACUACCAUACACCAAAGGGAUCGUGUAAGAGGGACUCCAAGAGUUGGUGGACCAGUGGUGAUCGCACUAGUUUCGGCUCGUCGAGUAUGGCCGGGAGUCGCGGUGGAGGUGUUUCCGUCGGGGUUGGGUGAUCCGACUUCUAGCAGUUCGUUGGUGGAGGCAGUGAGGAGGGCGAGCUUUGGUGGCCCUCAUGACCUUCAAGCUAUUGGAUCCACCCACCUUUGGUGGAGAGGAUGCGGAUCCAUGAACCAUGGAGUUGUGGAUCGACUCCAUAGAGACUCUCUUUAAGGGUCUAUGUGCUGUGGAGCGGGAUAAGGUACGCCUAGCCGUGCGUUGUCUGAAACAAUCGGCGAUGGUGUGGUGGAAAGGCGUCAAGCGGAUUUGAUCGCCUAGUUUCCUUCCUGUCGCUUGGGAUGAGCUUCGGGAUUUGUCGUGUUCUACUUCCCCGUACCCCGUACCCGAAGUUUGCCCAGUCUGGGCAGUGCACAUUCUUGAGUGCAAUUGCAAUCCCUAACCUCGGAGGUGUCUUGUGUUAACUUCUUCAAGAUACGGGAUUACCGAAGUUCUCACCAGGCGCGGUGGGGUGCGCUGCGUGAUGAGAUCUGCAUUCGUAUGGGCGAUGGCCAAGCCAUAAGCGAGGGGAGUGCCGCUGAGGGAUGAUCAGACCUUAGCGUUAGCGACGGCCUCCUCCUCCCCGAGACAGCCUGUGCGUGUGUCACCUGCAGCAUGGUUUGGAGGGUGAGUGAUAAAGAAGUGACAACCUGAGGGUUCGCGGCGAGCGCCAGGUGGCCAUGGAUAGCGACCCGGUUUGGGGAGCCUGCUGCUGCCGAGGAUAUCGCGGCAGAUGUGAUUUAGUUAAAGCAAGCAGGUACUUUUGCAUGAUCUCAAGUUGACGCAUUGUGUCUUUGCCCUGUGGUCAUUUACUGCUAUCGAUGCGUCAGAGUGGCAGGGACCAAGUGGACGGGUAAGUGUAAAUGCCCGGGCAUGCUUAUGCGGUGAAAGUGUAGCACCUGCCGGUGCAAGCAAGGAGCUAUAUGGCACUAACAAGUUACUAGUGAUAACCAGGUGAUAAGACUCAUGGUAAAGGUGGAGAUGGGGAAAUGACUCUCGAGGCAACGAUUAGUGGAUUGCGAGGGUUGAACCAUAAUACCUGUAGACACGCGAGUAAUCCGAGAAUUUCGGAUAUUGUUCCGAUAGAUCGAACGGUGAAAGGAAAGUCAUUGUUGAGAGAGUAACUGGUUAGUUACCAAGUUGUGGCACGUGGGCCUAGUAGUAGCACCUCAACUUGAGGUUAGAAGUUGUGCUUAUUUGGUCGGCGCGCAUAGGCAGGGUUGCCUGAUGCUAGAUUUAGUUUGGAACGCUAUAGAGGCGUGUAGAGCGCUUGAGUAUAGGUACUCGUGGUGUGCGGUAUUCACUCAGCCGAGAAAGUGAGAUGGCAGUAGCACUGUAGCAUUGCUAGGUGUGAAGCGUGCCUGGUAUCACUCGUAGGGGCUGAUGGCUCGCACUAGGUGCUUAGGAGCGGAUAUUGGUAUGUGUGACUCGGUAGAGCAUGUCGUGUAGGACGACGACGGCGGGUAGUGCUUGGGGACGACCCGUGCCUGGACCAUUUGUGGACUGUAGAGCCUGAGCCCUUUGGGCAGGCGCAGUCAGCUGUGAGAGACAGCGGCCCGAUACCUACAGGUAGGGCAGAGAUUUGGUCAGGAUGGUAGUCCGAGCUUAGACCCGGGAGCGUGGAAUGCCACGUGUUAGAUCAUGAGAUCGAGGAUACACCGAGUGUGUAGUGACCCAACCCGAGGAUUUGAGGUGGUUUGGGGUCACGGUUGCUCCUGGUUGGAGCGUGUGCGAAUUCUCCAAUGCGAAUUUCGCCCGAUUAUGAUUUGGCCUACGCUGGUGAGCAAGGGACGCUAUACGUAGUUGUAAGAGGUUUAGGCGGUAGACCUACGUAGGACGGGUGACUGUUGGUCCACCUGUGGAAACCGACGUAAUCGGUUUAGCCGAUAACUCUAUUAGUGAGUUGGCUUGGAUUCACGAACAUAGGGUUCGUGUGGAUUUGUCGCAAGAGCAAGGUAAAGUUGGUCGUGGCUUAUGAUAUCAAGGGCGAAAUGCUCUUGUGCGAUAUUGAGAUGUGGAUAGCCACGUGGGAAUUGGAGCUUGAGGACAAUGCUCUUUUGUGGAUUGAGAUUGGAGAUGUGCCGGAAUGGGCCAUCUCCUGAUAGAACAAGGAUCCGGUUGUGAUGAACCACUCGCGAUUGGUCGAGUCACCAACGAUAUUGCUUCUAAGCAAUGCAGGUGAUCGAAUCGGAGUGAAAUUUUUCGUUUGGGUGUAUAAUGCAAGAGUAGUUCUUUGCAUGGUGGUAAUACACUUUUGGAGCUGCACGUGGCAAAUGUGAGUGAAUCUAGUCUCACAUCUUCCGUAGUGAGCCUAUGGAUAGUUCCGAUGAGCGAAAAGCCACUCCGAGAUGCAAAAGUGCACUGUACCCCUUGUCACUCAAGAAAGAGAAUUAGAGUGUGAAUUGGGUUGAAGUGAGUGAGUUUCGGGGACGAAACUCUUUUUAAGGAGGGGAGAAUGUAAGGUACCGGACUUCUAAAACUAUGAAGUUACGGUGUACAUUUAAAUGGCUCCGGUGAGGUUGCGGCGGAAUGUAACAUACCGGAUUUUAAAUAUAAAAGUGAAAAUAAAUAAAAAUAGUAUGAGAUACUAUUUUUAUUGGAUUUAGAGAAGUGAAAUAUAGGUUGGGAAUGACCUGUGCUGAAAUCGGAGCGAAAACAGAAGAUUUAGAAUUUUCUGUUGGAAAUGGGACAGAUAAUUAGCAGAAAAUGCACAGUCUCAGAAAAUUAUGAAAAUUGGCGGGGAUGUCAGAAAUAUUUUAAUGAGGCUAGAUUUGAAGUUUCAUAUUUUUCUGACGCCCGUAGAGAGAGAAAUAGCAUCCGAAAGCCAUCUGAUAAAGAUUGCAGUUCGGCACAGUUUUCGGUGACCAAACGGGGUCGAAACUGAAAUAUUAAAAUUUCUUUGGACUUAUUAAGUAAAACCGAGCGUGCCUGUCAAAUUUGAGCUCAAACGGAUAUUCAGGGAGCUCCGGCGAAAGAUAUCAGAUUUGGAGCUGCCUGAUGUGAAUAGUGUAUGCUACUAUUGAGGUGUUGACUAUAAGUAGAAGCUACUAGGCUUCUUCCUCCUCAAGUUGCAGCCAGCACCAAGCAUCACACGCACAUGGUGUAGUGAGAGAAACCCUCUCUUUCUCUCUCUAAAUAUCUCUCUCAUCUCUCUAUAUUUCUCGCCCAAAUUCGCGGCGUUGGUGGAGAUCGAGCUUGCGAACGCGUUGGAGGCGACGGAUUGAGCUUUCGUGCGCCCGUUGGAGCGGCGUGUUUUCGUUGCGGCGUUCACAUUGGGGUAAGCUUUUGGGAUUUGGCUUAAUCCUUAGCUUUAAGUGUUCUAUUAGCCUCUAAUGAUCAUUAGUAAGCAUAUUGAUCCAUUUAAUUUGGAUUAUUUGGAGGUUAAUUGUACGUUAGGGCUCCGAAUGGGAUUUUGUAAAAUGUAAGGGUUUGAUCUCAUUUGACCCUUCGUAAACCUAAUUGCUAGGUAACGAAACGCGUUGGCGAAGACGGUUCGGUAAUUCGACGAGCCGUUACAAAGUUAUUAAAGAAAUAGACGUUUAGGCUUCGGGUCCGCCGGGAGGGCCGAUGCGACGUCGUAAAAUCAUGGAAAUGGAUUUGAGGCAUCGUGGCACAUAACCGAAGACCUAUAAUUUCCGGAUUUGUAAAGCGGAACACGGUUGAGGCGCAAGAUCUUGUCGGGCCCAAAGGGUGCCGAGUGCCGCGGGAGGCCGAUUGCAAGUGACGACAAGCAAUCGGAACGCGAGUUAAGGUGGGUUGUGCUUACCGAAGCGACUAGGUCGCCCUUUAUGUCUUAGCAAUGUAAUCUCAUGUUGAUGCAUGUGCAUGUAGACAAGAGCAAGGAUGCAUGUUAAUAAAGAUGCAUAAAGUAGAUGCUAAGUAGAAAGCAUGAUAAAUGGUAAUGCUUAGAGCAAAUGCAUAUUAAUAACAAUGCAUAGUGGAGCAUAAUGAUUAUGGCAUUAGAUAAUGCUAGCUAAUGUAAAGUAAUGCAUGAUAAUGAUAAUGCAUAGAUGAAAAUGCUUAGUAGAAAUGCAUGGUGAGCAAGUUACACAAUGCUAAUAAUGCAUGAUAAUAAUGUAAUGCUAAGUAAUGCAUGAUAUGAAGUAAAUGCAUAUUAAUAAUAAUGCAUGAUGAGGAUGCUAAGUAAGGGAUGCAUGUUAGUAAUGAUGCAAAGAGUAAUUGCUAAGUAGAAAGCAUGAUGCAUGGUAUAUGUAUAUAAACCAGAUGAUAACUCUAGGAUGAGUAGAGAUGACUGGACAACUAAGUUGUCAGGUAGAUCGAGUGGCAUCUAACCUAGUGUUAAAGAACAUAGGUUGGUUAGUAAACCUAGAGUUGAACAAUCUAGGUGUGUGGCAUCUAACCUAGUGUUAGUAAACCUAGGUUGAACUAGUAAACCUAGAAGUGGAUAUCUAGGCAAAGAUGAUAAGAACCUAGCAAGUGUAUCUAGGUUAAGUGAUGUGGACAUAGAACCUAGAGUGUUGGAACCUAGGUUGAUGAGUAUAGUGGUAUAGCCACUAGAUUGAGCUAGGUCGACAGUAUAGGGUUGGCUAUGAACCCUCGACCUGUGGUAAGUGGAUUCCGGAAUCCCAGGACUUAUGAUGUCCCUGGUACAGGCUAGGGCGUUCGUGCGACGAUUUCGCCGCCGAGCUUGGUACCGUGGGUAGAUUGGGGGCGAUCACAUGGAGAUCACCGCCCGGGGCUUGAACCAUUGUGCUGGCGUUUGUGCGACGAUUUCGCCGCCAGAGUGGUUAAGCCAUUUGAGGAUCAGACCGCCAGAGUAGACUGAAUCCAUGCUGGGUAAGUACGAUGCGGGUGCCUCCAGGUGACUGAGUCUGACAUGAUCGUUGUUGGGUGUGGUGCGACCCGUUCGCCGCCAGACGGUAUGUCAUGUCUCGAGCUCACGCUGGGUAUGUGCAACGCGAUCGCCACCGAUGGUCAAGUCUUGUGACUCGAGCCGUCUUCAGCGUGUGCGACGAUUUCGCCGCUAGGAGGCUGAGUCAGAGAGAGUGCGGUAGGCUGUUGAGCAGCCAGUGCGCGGACUAUCCGCAGAUGAUUGACUCGAAGCCGAGUCGGGUGGUUAGCUAUGAUAGGGUAGAGGAACCCUUAUGAGCCAGAGAUAGAGGCUUGAGCUAAGGUAAUAGAAACCUUAGAAGCCAGUGGUUGGUGUUGUGAUCCUAAGGUAAUAGAAACCUUAGAGUAAAGUUAUGAGCUAAAGUAGCCAAGUAAAAGUAGAAUUCAUAUGAUCUACUAGUUGUUGCAUGGUUUUCAUAUCGCAUAUCGUGAGGCAUGGCAUGUAUUUCAAUUGAAUAUAUAUAUCUGUUGUAUAUUGUUGAACUAACAUGUUGCAGUGCCUCCUCGGACCUAUCGGUCGAGCUUUUCCCUUGGGUGGCCGUACCCACUGGGAACCAUGGAGUUGGUUCUCACCCCACGUGAUUUUG
Molecule: long non-coding RNA, 8041 nt
Filed under: Ananas comosus (pineapple)
Lineage: Eukaryota; Viridiplantae; Streptophyta; Magnoliopsida; Poales; Bromeliaceae
Description: long non-coding RNA (ACOM_LNC033175)
Source: RNAcentral